This is a long non-coding RNA of Raphanus sativus (radish), 950 nucleotides long. RefSeq lists it as uncharacterized. NCBI's taxonomy places the organism in Eukaryota, Viridiplantae, Streptophyta, Magnoliopsida, Brassicales, Brassicaceae. The record is from RefSeq and is a predicted model, not a curated record. The transcript has 2 exons.
AGUCGUUCCAGCAACCCGCUCCAAGGUUUGCGUGCUCCAGAGCGGGUAAGCUUCCCCGCUCCAUUAGGCCGCUCUGAUGCUUGGUCUUUGAUGUGGCUGUGCUCAAGUUGUAGAGUGGCUUAGGCUUCCUGCGCCGAACACCCGCUCUGAAACUCGCUGGGUUUGGAGUGGCUUGAUGAGGUCGCUACCAAGACCCGCUCUAUCACUUCAUCACUUGUGCUCCGUGGUCGAGAUCUGAUGGGAAUGGGAGUGGCUUGAUGAGGUCACUGCCAAGACCCGCUCUGAACCACGCUCCACAUACAGCUACAACUUCAACCCGCUCUGCUACAGCCGCUCCAGCACUUGACAAGAUGUGGUCGAUGACGAUGGGUUGUGUUCUGUUCCCAGAGGCCCAAUUCAAGGGAAUUUCGUUAAAUUGACUAUUUGUUAAUAGCUGGUUACCGCUAAAUUAUUUAUCUACCAGAAUCAUACAUAUCUGUUUUUUUGCCUCUCAGAUGGAUUUAACUUCUUAUAAUCAGAACGAUGAGGUUCAAGAAGAAGAAGCUUCAGAGCCUUCUCUUUCUGGAAAGAGAAGGAAGAAAACUGAAAGACCAAGCUCUGCUCUUCCACCAAACUCAAGGUAAUUAAUUGCUCAUAGAGCAAAGAUGAUAUGGGCAUUCUUUGUCCUACAAGAAGAUGAUCGUGGGCAAUACAAUUGCUGUUUCUGUAAAUUUGCAGGAACUGAAAGUAGCACUGUGUGUAUUUUGGUUCCUUUUUGUAUUUAAUUCAGCUUGAGUUAUAUGUGUUUAAUACUUUCAGUGCAAGUUGUUUUCUCUUCCCUGUUAUUGUUGUAUGAUGUGAUCAUCUUUGAUCAAUAAGUUAGUACAACGUGAGUUCGAGACUUUUUGAAAGUGGUGUAAUAUGAUUUGUUUGGAACUUUGAACAGUUGAGUACAAUUUUUUUCUAACAAA